GUGUAGUAAGCAUCGCCACUGGGGAGACAAAGGCGGCCGGGCGUGGUUCUGGCUACCCACCCCCUCGUGUGCUGUGCCGGCCUUAAUAGGCGCUGCUCGCUAACAGCACUUGCCCCAACAUUCUGAUGAGGCCAUACAGGGUAUCUUGGGUGUCGCUGACCACCAUCAUGUCCACCAGCUGAUCACCAUCAUGGUCUCCGCCAGGUUACCAGCUGACCACCAUCAUGGCCACCAGCUGAUCACCAUCAUGGUCUCCGCCAGGUUACCAGCUGACCACCAUCAUGGCCACCAGCUGAUCACCAUCAUGGUCUCCGCCAGGUUACCAGCUGAUCACCAUCAUGGUCUCCACCAUGUUACCAGAUGACCACCAUCAUGGUCACCAGCUGAUGACCAUCAUGGCCACCAAAUCACCACCAUUACGGCCUCCGCUAAAGCCAACGGCUGAUCACCACCAUAGCCACCAGCUGUUCACUAUCAUGGCCAAAACUGACCUCCGUCAAGGCCACUGGCUGACCACUAAUCUGACCACCAUCUGGCCAACGUGGUUAGGGUCAGGAGUCGAAGUAAAGUCUGUUGGGGCCGUCUUAGAGGUGGGGCAAGCGCUGGAGCUGGUUGGUUGGGGGUCGUCGGGGCUUCGUGCGAGUGUUGGGGCUGGCACUAAAUGUUUGGAUGAGGGCCUUGUCUCCGAUUGGCCAGUGCAAGGCAUGGGUCGAACUCGUGCUGUGUUCUGGUUGGCCUACGUUAUUGGCGGCCGGUGUGCUCGGUUUCUGAUUGGUUGUUGUGCUUAUAAAAGGUAGUGACAGUUCCUCGUGUCUGAUUGGCCAGUGUAAGGCGCGGGUAAAACUCGUGCUGUGUUCUGAUUGGCCUACGUUGUUGCCGGCCAGUGUGCUGGUUUCUGAUUGGCCGUUACGCUUAUAAUGUUAGUGACAGUUCCUCGUGUCUAAUUGGGCAGUGCAAGGCACGGGUAGAACUCGUACUGUGUUCUGAUUGGCCUAUGUUGUUGGCGGCCGAUGUGCUCGGUUUCUGAUUGGCCUUCGCGCUUAUAAUGCUAGUGACAGUUCCUUGUGUCCGAUUGGGCAGUGUAAGGCACGGGUAGAACUCGUACUGUGUUCUGAUUGGCCUACGUUGUUGGCGGCCGGUGUGCUCGGUUUCUGAUUGGCCUUCGCGCUUAUAAUGCUAGUGACAGUUCCUUGUGUCCGAUUGGGCAGUGUAAGGCACGGGUAGAACUCGUACUGUGUUCUGAUUGGCCUACGUCGUUGCCGGCCAGUGUGCUGGUUUCUGAUUGGCCGUUACGCUUAUAAUGCUAGUGACAGUUCCUUGUAUCCGAUUGGGCAGUGUAAGGCACGGGC
Petromyzon marinus (sea lamprey) is the source of this 1349-nucleotide non-coding RNA. NCBI's taxonomy places the organism in Eukaryota, Metazoa, Chordata, Hyperoartia, Petromyzontiformes, Petromyzontidae. The record is from RefSeq and is a predicted model, not a curated record.